This is a long non-coding RNA of Hippocampus zosterae (dwarf seahorse), 1387 nucleotides long. RefSeq lists it as uncharacterized. NCBI's taxonomy places the organism in Eukaryota, Metazoa, Chordata, Actinopteri, Syngnathiformes, Syngnathidae. The record is from RefSeq and is a predicted model, not a curated record. The transcript is spliced from 2 exons.
UGUGUGACGCAAGUUGUUAGUUUGCUGCCGCUUCUCACGGAAAUACAUGAAGAGAGUCUCUCUCCCAGCUAUCUUGCUAGAAUUUUCUCUUUACAGCACCAAAUGGCAGAAAAACCAAUGAGGAUUUGACCUUUGGCCACAAUGCAUCAUGGGAUCCUAGUUAAGAUGAAGAAAGAAUGCGAAGAAGCAACAAUAACCAUCUUGCAAAGUACAUCAGCGCUCAGAUUCUGACCUUCGAUGUCUGCCUCUUCGUUGACUCAAAGGGUUGCGUGUGGCUACGGCGGCGGCAAAGCUGACAAGGCAACACAACACGGUGGUGACGUGUGUGGCAGGCCAGCUGGAGGCGUCAUCCUCGACGUACGCUGCCAACAGGUGCCAACAACAAACCAGGAACCACAGCACCGAAGACACAAUAUCAAUUCUCCUCAACCUGAUAAUCACACCAGAUGAAAAGUUGACUUUUCCUCCUCAAACAGAUAUUCGCAGCAGAGUGAUACUAACCUGGCCGCUCCUGCGAAUAGGAGACCAAUGAGGCACGAUGACAGGCCGACACAAAUGACCGCCACCUGAUGAGCUUGUCCGAAGAGCAACAAGAGCUUGGCAUUGUCUACGAGUGUAACCGGGAGGAGGUCCAGCAGACUCUGCCAUGGCUGUGUGACUCCAUCGCUGCCAUUUUUGGUGGCGGACACGUUGUGGGCGAUUGAUUGGGAAUGAUUUAGUCCUCCGUUUGAAGUCUGCUGGUCAGCAGAGAAAGUCAAAGCGAGCAGAAGAGCACAAACGAGGAACGAGAGACAUCUGAGCAAGACGACAGCCAGAGGACAGGAUGCAGAGAGGGAGCCCUGUAAGCGAGAUAGAACUUCAUGGAUUAGAAAAUAAGUAGUCAAAUUUCCAGGGCAGAAAUGUAACGAUGCUAACAAUUUAAAGAUGGCCCCGUUUCCUGCGAAAGGUAAAAACUUUAACUGCUUCCAACUGAUACCAAGCACAAUUUUAAAAUCACCUUUUGCAGGCCACAAAACAGAUCGGCAGGACAAAUACGGCUCACGGGUCUCAAAUUUUACACGUGUCCUCGAUUUAUUUACACUAUAGGGUUCAGAUGCCAUAAUUACAAAUGCAGUGUGACAUCUUUACAUUGGAAUCAGGGCUCUUCCAAAUGUAGAUAAAAUCCUAUACUUAAUGCAUACCUGCCGAGAUGAGCGCAAGAAACGCUUUGUCAAUGCAAACUUCAUUGAAAUAGUAAACCCAAACAUAAUUACAUCUGAACAACAGUGAAAAACUAAACAAAAAUGAUGUUUCACUAAUUCCGUGCCAGAAAAAAAAACAGCAGUGUUAUACCUCCGAUCACUUGAAAUGUACUGUAAAUAGAAGCCCCCCCCAAAAAAAACAAAAA